AUCCUUCUGUAGGUCAUAAGCCUGAUGCAUGGGUGUUCACGUGAAUGUGUGAGAUGCGCCUCCCUCAAACCUUGUUUUGUUUUUAACAGCCAUUUUCUAUUGUUC
Small nucleolar RNA from Cebus imitator (Panamanian white-faced capuchin), 105 nucleotides. RefSeq annotates it as small nucleolar RNA U13. The transcript has a single exon. Lineage: Eukaryota; Metazoa; Chordata; Mammalia; Primates; Cebidae. The record is from RefSeq and is a predicted model, not a curated record.